AGUGAACGCUGGCGGUAGGCCUAACACAUGCAAGUCGAACGGCAGCACAGUAAGAGCUUGCUCUUACGGGUGGCGAGUGGCGGACGGGUGGGGAAUACAUCGGAAUCUUCUUUUUCGUGGGGGAUAACGUAGGGAAACUUACGCUAAUACCGCAUACGACCUACGGGUGAAAGCAGGGGAUCUUCGGACCUUGCGCGAUUGAAUGAGCCGAUGUCGGAUUAGCUAGUUGGCGGGGUAAAGGCCCACCAAGGCGACGAUCCGUAGCUGGUCUGAGAGGAUGAUCAGCCACACUGGAACUGAGACACGGUCCAGACUCCUACGGGAGGCAGCAGUGGGGAAUAUUGGACAAUGGGCGCAAGCCUGAUCCAGCCAUACCGCGUGGGUGAAGAAGGCCUUCGGGUUGUAAAGCCCUUUUGUUGGGAAAGAAAAGCAGCAGGUUAAUACCCCGCUGUUCUGACGGUACCCAAAGAAUAGGCACCGGCUAGCUUCGUG
This 492-nucleotide ribosomal RNA is filed under the name uncultured bacterium. Its description in RNAcentral is "partial 16S ribosomal RNA". It matches the Rfam family "Bacterial small subunit ribosomal RNA", at positions 29 to 507 of the family's 1533-position model. The record is from RNAcentral.